GGGGUGAUGACGAGAGGCUUGCCCCUCAGUGUCGGGGUGAUGACGAGAGGCUUGCCCCUCAGUGUCGGGGUGAUGACGAGAGGCUUGCCCCUCAGUGUCGGGGUGAUGACGAGAGGCUUGCCCUUCAGUGUCGGGGUGAUGACGAGAGGCUUGCCCCUCAGUGUCGGUGUGAUGACGAGAGGCUUGCCCCUCAGUGUCGGGGUAAUGACGAGAGGCUUGCCCCUCAGUGUCAGGGUGAUGACGAGAGGCUUGCCCCUCAGUGUCGGGGUGAUGACGAGAGGCUUGCCCUUCAGUGUCGGGGUGAUGAUGAGAGGCUUGCCCCUCAGUGUCGGGGUGAUGACGAGAGGCUUGCCUCUCAGUGUCGGGGUGAUGACGAGAGGGGCGCCUCUCAGUGUCGGGGUGAUGACGAGAGGCUUGCCCUUCAGUGUCGGGGUGAUGAUGAGAGGCUUGCCCUUCAGUGUCAGUGUGAUGAUGAGAGGCUUGCCCUUCAGUGUCGGGGUGAUGAUGAGAGGCUUGCCCCUCAGUGUCGGGGUGAUGACGAGAGGCUUGCCCCUCAGUGUCGGGGUGAUGACGAGAGGGGCGCCUCUCAGUGUCGGGGUGAUGACGAGAGGCUUGCCCCUCAGUGUCCAGGUGAUGACGACAGGGGCGCCCCCGCAACAUGUCCCAGAGGCAGCUCUCCUAAUUGGUUAAUUAAUCCUCACAAAGGCUUGUCUGCAGCGUCAGAGGCGUGAGUGCUGAGAGAGG
This 744-nucleotide long non-coding RNA is filed under the name Salmo salar (Atlantic salmon). Its description in RNAcentral is "lncRNA (ENSSSAG00000090945.1)". Lineage: Eukaryota; Metazoa; Chordata; Actinopteri; Salmoniformes; Salmonidae. The record is from RNAcentral.